Molecule: long non-coding RNA, 4231 nt
Organism: Acinonyx jubatus (cheetah)
Lineage: Eukaryota; Metazoa; Chordata; Mammalia; Carnivora; Felidae
Exons: 3
Source: RefSeq, a predicted model, not a curated record
GGGGGGAACAAAGAAGGAGAUGGGGGUUGUUAGCUUGCCCUGGAGUGGGGCCUCGGAUGCGGAGCAGGGGGCGCUGGCUGACUGGUACCUUGUCCCUGAGGGGGACAGGCUGUGGCUGGUUCUGAGACUGUGACGGAAAGGCGGUGAUUGAUCUGAAAUGAUCUGUGGCUACUGGGGUGACGCUACCUGGAAGCGGAAGCCCAUGAGAUAGACUAAGUCCCUCCGCCUGCCUUGCUGCUUCUUACCCCCCACCCCCACCCCUGCAGCGACAGUAAGGCGGCAGAGAGCACAGCAGGAGGCGGCCAGCAAAGGGGAGGGGUUUGCACAGUUCCGGCCCCAGCAACAGCCAGUGGACUCGAAGCGUGGGUCUGCCGCAGAGACAAGGGUAUCGUAACCAGGGCACCCUGCUUCUGUUUCCUCUCAGCCGCGAGGCAGAUUAGGGACAAUCGCCUCCUCUGGGCAGGCUGGCCCUGUGUCAGGGCGCGUGGUCUGGUGAGCGGAAUUAGAAGAAGGUGCGUCCCGGAAGAAGCAAACCAUCCCAGGGUGUGUGGCUGGGUAGAAAACCGCGGGCCGGAUUUUAGCUCCUGACCCCCUUCUCAUCAAGGCGCGCUUCCCCUCGUACAGGGUGCGACCUGUGCCGUCACGGCCGGUGGUCUCACGCAGCACCGUCUCCGGCAUGUGGCGCAUUCCGUUACAGAUGGGCGUCGCACAUGCACGCGCGUGUGCAGAUGAAAACGGGUUUUCUGCCAACGCAGUAUAUGUGUGACGGCAGAUGUACAUGUAGAGACGGUUUGCCCGAGCAGGAAAGGGGGCUAUCCUGUUGCCCACCCUCCGUGGGGGCUGGGAGUGAGGAUGGGCUAUCGAGAGACCCCCAGGGUCCCCGGGGUGUUCUGUGGGUAGCUCACCACGCAGCUGCCCCGUCUCGACGCAGGACCCAGGGUCUGAACUAAACCAGUGUGCUUCUGCAGACAAAGGCAUAGAAAAUAGAAACAGUUUCUCAGCGAAUCUAGGACAGGAAGCCGCUUCUGAGGGACAGUGUGGUGUUGGUGGUGAACCAAGAUGUGGGGGCGGGAGUCUUCAGAUAGUAGGCAUUAGAGAAGUUUGAGAGGCUAUUUCAGCAUUCCUCAUAAUAGAGUUUUCAAAUUGGAUGGGACCCUAGGAAUGAUCUAGUGAUAAUGAUGAUGACGGUAACACUAGUGGUCUUAGAUUAGGUUUUCGGGAACUAGACUCUGAGACGGUUCUCGGAGAGGCCGGGGAGCACGGGGAACACAAAUAAAGAGGGGAGGAGGCUGACCAGGCCAAGGGGGCAAGCAGACCCAAGGUGUGGCUGUGAACGAGGCCCCAGGACCCUACAGGGGGCUCUGGAGUGGGAUGGGCCUUCAAAAUGGCCUCCGACCGAGGUAAGAAGGCUGGCCCUUGCGUCCACACAUCACCCGGUCAUCGGCCACAGGCCCCCGUGAGAGAGCAGAUCCCCGUGGUCUAAGGUAGGUUCUGAUGAGGGAUGAGCUUCCCAUUAGCUGGAGAUGUGUUGCUCCCAAGAAGGGAUCUGGGCAGAGCUUCAAGGGAGCCACAAAAGUAGCAAUGAGGUGACAAUAACCUCCCACCUGUUGAUCACCUACAGUGAGCUAGAAGCCUUGCCCACAGGCCUCCCCAAGUAUUCCCCAUCCCAGUAAGUAGCACUGGCAUCCAACCACGGCUCAGCACUUUUUCACCCACAGCCAGAAUGACCCCCAACCGUUGCUCUCCUGUGUAGAGCCCUUGAAUCGCUUCUUGUCGAACUGCAAGUCUAAACUCCCUAACGCAGGAUGCAAGGACCCACGCCAUGGGUCUCUGCGCCCUCGUCGACCGACGUCUGUUUUCCCCUAGCCCCCCAUAUUCUAGUCUCACUGGUCUUCACUUGAUUCCUUCUGCAUACCCAGCUCAUUCUGGCCUCAAAGCCUUUAUAGUAGCUGUUCCCCAUGCCUGGAAUGACCUUCCCCAGAACUGCCAUGGCGUGGCCUUGUCAUUCAAGCCUCAGCUCCAGUGUCACCUCCCUGAUGAGGCCUCUCCUGACCUCCCUAGUUAAAUUCUUACUGGAGACAUCAGUCUAGCCGGGUUUCAAGGACCAGUCCCCACCUCUUGCAGCCUGGGGGCGAUUUGCAACUUGUCAAAGCUUCCUUUGUACAACCUGACCUGGCUGGUGGGGUGUCUCCUUGGGAAGAAAGUUCUCACGUGGUCUUUUUCAGGAUCCCAGAGCUGUCUGGGACCUCCCUGGCCCUAUUGUGGUAAAGCGAAACUCACUGCGGAAUAGGAGGAGCUCGGGAACUGAGAGCCCGGCCUCUCUUCUCCAAGUGAGUCAGUUAACAAGUGGAAAAGAGAAACCCCUUCACCACUGAAUUUUUAACCGCACCAGAAACUGCCCAUCUGUUUGGUCCAACGCGGGAGGGGCAAUUUGGUUACUCUGUCUACAGGCUUGGGGCAAGUAGGAACAGAGAUGAGGUUGGAAGCAUUGUUAACGUGUGUGUUUUCUUCAGUCAUUAAAGGACAGCGGCAAACUUGGGACGUUUGAAGGGAACCGUCAUCCGCUUCACAAGCAGUCGUUUGGUUCUGUGACUAAGACGUGGAAGGACUUGGACGAGGCAUCGGGGCCACCGGAGUGUCACACGUGACAAGGAGCAACUCCCAGGGGAAGCGAGGGGGCGGUGGAUUCCAGCGAACGUCGAGCGGGAACGAGGCAAGUGUCGCGAGCGGUGAGGACGGGCCUUGUCUUUCUGCAGAGCCAUAUCCUUCGCCGUGUUCUCCGUGUGCCAGUGUACCCACAUGUGCAAGAGGAAUGGCUGAAUCUAACUACAUGAGCCCAGCUGAGCAGCCCAGAUGAGGAAUGCCAAGGGACACUGUCUUGGGCCACAUCCUGUUGAACACUUACCAAUGGCUAGAAUGGACUUACUAUUCAUGGUGUCCCUGUAAGAUAGGUUGUGUUACCCCUUUUACAGGCCAGGUGAUUCCCCCAUGGGGCUGAGCCGCCUUGUCCCCGAGGGGCGUGUGGGAAAGUGGGAAGGGUGGACGUUUCAGGGAAGGUGAGAGGCAGGGUUUGAAAAGGCCUUGGCCAGGCUGAAAUGGGCUCAAAUUCAUGCAUAGCAAGAUGAAAGGCAAGAGAGACCUUUGCUUGGGGUUCAGAAUACCCACCAGACACACACAGGAUGUGGGAUACCUAGGUCAACAGCAUAAGUGAAAGAGGCUGGGUUUUUAGUUGACAGGAAGUCUCGUAUGAGUCAACAGGGGGGAGGUGGCAGCCAGCAAAGCUAAUGUCACUGUAGCAUCCACCAAGUGGAGGUACAACGAGUCGGGGAGGGAGGAGAUACUCCCGAGUCAGUCUGCAUCCAGGAAAUGGAGCUCAGGUCUGGAAACCUGAGUCAGGGAAAGGGGCAGAGAGCUCACCAGGCUCUCUGACCCAGAGGCUGGGGGUGGACACUCCUGGCUGCUGCUGGACACUCUCCUCGUCCUCUGGCAUCCCCAAAGCGUAUCAGUCUAUUUCUGAACAAUUACAGCCCCUUCUUGCUCUUAUCCGAUUGCCUUGCCUGCCUCCAGAAUACGCUACUCAUUCAACUUUGGGUUUUAUUCACGUAACCUGAGUACCUGUGGGGAUUCCUUGUGACCUCGUUUCUACAUGAAGUCACGUUCAAAGAAGCCCAAUCCAGCAAGUGAAAGAGAGAGCUUUCCAUCUUCAGGCACACCUCUCAAAGAGAUGAAAAAGAAUGAGGUCCCUGUUUCCUUUUCUCUCUUACUAUCUUGGGCUUCAAGUCUUCUUUAGAAACUUUGACUCUUCCAAGGAACCCCAAACCCCCCGGGCAUCCAUAAUCGACCUGACACGCCAUGACUCUCGAGUUUCUGCAUCCCCAUUAUACACAAAGGACUCAACACCUAUGUCUUUUUUUUUUUUUCUUCUGGUCCCUCCUUCCCUACGCCCUCUAUGUUCUUGAGUUUUCUUUCCACUUCACUGCUGACCCAACUUCCUCCCUCCGACAGGGUGGGGGGACUCAGAGACUGAUCUGGCAAGCCAGGAUGCUCCCCCGCGACCUGGGUCUCUCCAGCACUGUCUGUCCCUUCCUAUCCUCCCAGGAACUGCGCUGGCCAAGAUGGAGCUCUGAGGGAGCUGAAUGAGAAGAAACAGAGCAGGCCGAGACCGCAUUUUUGGAGAGUGGGGUGUGUGGGGCAAAUAUGGCGACGGGAGGGAUGGCGGGGACGUCGGGAA